AGGGAAGUGGCGCAAUUGGUAGCGCAACGGUCUCCAAAACCGUAGGUUGUGGGUUCGAGUCCCGCCUUCCCUG
Molecule: transfer RNA, 73 nt
Organism: Bifidobacterium reuteri DSM 23975
Lineage: Bacteria; Bacillati; Actinomycetota; Actinomycetes; Bifidobacteriales; Bifidobacteriaceae
Rfam family: tRNA
About the family: Transfer RNA (tRNA) molecules are approximately 80 nucleotides in length. Their secondary structure includes four short double-helical elements and three loops (D, anti-codon, and T loops). Further hydrogen bonds mediate the characteristic L-shaped molecular structure. tRNAs have two regions of fundamental functional importance: the anti-codon, which is responsible for specific mRNA codon recognition, and the 3' end, to which the tRNAs corresponding amino acid is attached (by aminoacyl-tRNA synthetases). tRNAs cope with the degeneracy of the genetic code in two manners: having more than one tRNA (with a specific anti-codon) for a particular amino acid; and 'wobble' base-pairing, i.e. permitting non-standard base-pairing at the 3rd anti-codon position.
Source: Rfam